This 510-nucleotide ribosomal RNA is filed under the name uncultured Actinomycetes bacterium. Its description in RNAcentral is "bacterial SSU rRNA". It matches the Rfam family "Bacterial small subunit ribosomal RNA", at positions 32 to 548 of the family's 1533-position model. The record is from RNAcentral. Lineage: Bacteria; Bacillati; Actinomycetota; Actinomycetes.
AACGCUGGCGGUGCGCCUUAUGCCUGCAGGUCAAGCGAAGCUUUUCAGUAGUUUACUACAGAAAAUGACUGAGCGGCGAACGGGUGAGUAACGCGUGAGCAAUCUACCUUAGUUACAGGGAUAGCCCGAGGAAACUCGGAUUAAUACCUGAUAUUCUUUAUUUCUCGCAUGAGAAUAACAAGGAAAGGUCAGCCGAACUAAGAUGAGCUCGCGUUCUAUCAGCUAGUUGGUGAGGUAAAAGCUUACCAAGGCUACGACGGAUAGCUGGUCUGAGAGGACGAUCAGCCACACUGGGACUGAGACACGGCCCAGACUCCUACGGGAGGCUGCAGCAGGGAAAUAUUGUGCAAUGAACGAAAGUUUGACACAGCGACACCGCGUGUGGGAUGACGGAUCUAGGUUUGUAUACCACUUUCAGGAGGGAAGAAAAUGACGGUACCUCCACAAGAAGCCCCGGACAACUACGUGACCAGCACGCCGCGGUAAUACGUAGGGGCGAGCGUUGUCCGG